UACGGAGGGUGCGAGCGUUGUCCGGAAUCAUUGGGCGUAAAGGGCGCGUAGGUGGCCCGGUCAGUUCGUGGUGAAAGCGCGGGGCUCAACCCUGCGUCGGCCAUGAAUACUGCCGCGGCUGGAGCACUGUAGAGGCAGGCGGAAUUCCGGGUGUAGCGGUGGAAUGCGUAGAGAUCCGGAAGAACACCGGUGGCGAAGGCGGCCUGACUGGGCCAGUUGCUGGACACUGAGGCGCGACAGCGUGGGGAGCAAACAGGG
This 258-nucleotide ribosomal RNA is filed under the name uncultured bacterium. RNAcentral describes it as "partial 16S ribosomal RNA". It matches the Rfam family "Bacterial small subunit ribosomal RNA", at positions 524 to 777 of the family's 1533-position model. The record is from RNAcentral.